Molecule: ribosomal RNA, 432 nt
Filed under: uncultured bacterium
Lineage: Bacteria
Description: partial 16S ribosomal RNA
Rfam family: Bacterial small subunit ribosomal RNA
Source: RNAcentral
AACGAACGCUGGCGGCAUGCCUAACACAUGCAAGUCGAACGAGACCUUCGGGUCUAGUGGCGCACGGGUGCGUAACGCGUGGGAACCUGCCCUUAGGUUCGGAAUAACUCCCCGAAAGGGGUGCUAAUACCGGAUAAUGUCUUCGGACCAAAGAUUUAUCGCCUUUGGAUGGGCCCGCGUUGGAUUAGCUAGUUGGUAGGGUAAAAGCCUACCAAGGCGACGAUCCAUAGCUGGUCUGAGAGGAUGAUCAGCCACACUGGGACUGAGACACGGCCCAGAUCCCUACGGGAGGCAGCAGGGGGGAAAAUUGGACAAGGGGCGAAAGCCUGAUCCAGCAAUGCCGGGUGGGUGAUGAAGGCCUUAGGUUUGUAAAGCUUUUUUCCCCGGGAUGAUAAUGACAGUACCGGGAAAAAAAGCCCCGGCUAACUCCGU